GAUGAACGCUGGCGGCGUGCCUAAUACAUGCAAGUCAAGCGAACAGAUGAGGAGCUUGCUCCUCUGACGUUAGCGGCGGACGGGUGAGUAACACGUGGAUAACCUACCUAUAAGACUGGGAUAACUUCGGGAAACCGGAGCUAAUACCGGAUAAUAUAUUGAACCGCAUGGUUCAAUAGUGAAAGACGGUUUUGCUGUCACUUAUAGAUGGAUCCGCGCCGCAUUAGCUAGUUGGUAAGGUAACGGCUUACCAAGGCAACGAUGCGUAGCCGACCUGAGAGGGUGAUCGGCCACACUGGAACUGAGACACGGUCCAGACUCCUACGGGAGGCAGCAGUAGGGAAUCUUCCGCAAAGGGCGAAAGCCUGACGGAGCAACGCCGCGUGAGUGAUGAAGGUCUUCGGAUCGUAAAACUCUGUUAUUAGGGAAGAACAAAUGUGUAAGUAACUAUGCACGUCUUGACGGUACCUAAUCAGAAAGCCACGGCUAACUACGUG
Molecule: ribosomal RNA, 497 nt
Filed under: uncultured bacterium
Lineage: Bacteria
Description: partial 16S ribosomal RNA
Rfam family: Bacterial small subunit ribosomal RNA
Source: RNAcentral